Molecule: ribosomal RNA, 531 nt
Filed under: Escherichia coli
Lineage: Bacteria; Pseudomonadati; Pseudomonadota; Gammaproteobacteria; Enterobacterales; Enterobacteriaceae
Description: bacterial SSU rRNA
Rfam family: Bacterial small subunit ribosomal RNA
Source: RNAcentral
GCUCUUUGCUGACGAGUGGCGGACGGGUGAGUAAUGUCUGGGAAACUGCCUGAUGGAGGGGGAUAACUACUGGAAACGGUAGCUAAUACCGCAUAACGUCGCAAGACCAAAGAGGGGGACCUUCGGGCCUCUUGCCAUCGGAUGUGCCCAGAUGGGAUUAGCUAGUAGGUGGGGUAACGGCUCACCUAGGCGACGAUCCCUAGCUGGUCUGAGAGGAUGACCAGCCACACUGGAACUGAGACACGGUCCAGACUCCUACGGGAGGCAGCAGUGGGGAAUAUUGCACAAUGGGCGCAAGCCUGAUGCAGCCAUGCCGCGUGUAUGAAGAAGGCCUUCGGGUUGUAAAGUACUUUCAGCGGGGAGGAAGGGAGUAAAGUUAAUACCUUUGCUCAUUGACGUUACCCGCAGAAGAAGCACCGGCUAACUCCGUGCCAGCAGCCGCGGUAAUACGGAGGGUGCAAGCGUUAAUCGGAAUUACUGGGCGUAAAGCGCACGCAGGCGGUUUGUUAAGUCAGAUGUGAAAUCCCCCGG